UUCCAGACUCCUACGGGAGGCAGCAGUGGGGGAUAUUGCACAAUGGGGGAAACCCUGAUGCAGCGACGCCGCGUGGGUGAAGAAGCGCCUCGGCGCGUAAAGCCCUGUCAGCAGGGAAGAAAAUGACGGUACCUGAAGAAGAAGCCCCGGCUAACUACGUGCCAGCAGCCGCGGUAAUACGUAGGGGGCGAGCGUUAUCCGGAUUCACUGGGUGUAAAGGGAGCGUAGACGGCCAAGCAGGCCAGGGGUGAAAGCCCGGGGCCCAACCCCGGGACUGCCCUUGGAACUGCAUGGCUGGAGUGCGGGAGGGGCAGGCGGAAUUCCUAGUGUAGCGGUGAAAUGCGUAGAUAUUAGGAGGAACACCAGUGGCGAAGGCGGCCUGCUGGGCUUUUACUGACGCUGAGGCUCGAAAGUGUGGGGAGCAAACAGGAUUAGAUACCCUAGUA
This 446-nucleotide ribosomal RNA is filed under the name uncultured bacterium. RNAcentral describes it as "bacterial SSU rRNA". It matches the Rfam family "Bacterial small subunit ribosomal RNA", at positions 329 to 792 of the family's 1533-position model. The record is from RNAcentral.